RNAcentral lists this ribosomal RNA (253 nucleotides) under uncultured bacterium. Its description in RNAcentral is "partial 16S ribosomal RNA". It matches the Rfam family "Bacterial small subunit ribosomal RNA", at positions 524 to 776 of the family's 1533-position model. The record is from RNAcentral.
GACAGAGGUGCCAAGCGUUAGGCGGAAUCACUGGGCUUAAAGCGUGUGUAGGCGGGGCGUUAAGUGUCUUGUGAAAUCCCCCGGCUCAACCGGGGAAUGGCUGGGCAUACUGGCGAUCUUGAGCAGUCUAGGGGCAGAUGGAACAGACGGUGGAGCGGUGAAAUGCGUAGAUAUCAGGAGGAACACCGGUGGCGAAGGCGGCUACCUGGACAGAGUCUGACGCUGAGGCACGAAAGCUAGGGGAGCAAACAGG